RNAcentral lists this unclassified non-coding RNA (390 nucleotides) under Potentilla tenuis. RNAcentral describes it as "partial external transcribed spacer". Lineage: Eukaryota; Viridiplantae; Streptophyta; Magnoliopsida; Rosales; Rosaceae. The record is from RNAcentral.
UGCUUCGGCAUCGAACCGUCCGCGCACGCUCCACGUCAGUGAUGCAUCAAGACAUUCUUGUGCUUCAAAGCGAUUCCUGUAUUUGCUACCUAUGUUUUAAAGGAAUGGUGCCUCUCGCUUACUCUUUCCUUCCCCGACCAUGCGGUUAGGGGGAGGACAUCGUAGUGGCGCCUGUGCCCCCCGCAUUGGACGUGCCGUAUGGCGUGCACCAUGCGACGGUUCUCAGGUUGUUGCUUGAUGCCUYGGAUACGGAACAUUCGGUGGGCUUGGGUGUCUCGGCACCUUUGAUGUCCAAAUUCAAGCGUUUUGUCGCUAGACAUGUACGACUGUCAUGCUCGUUGCGGGUCUCCCGUGCGGUGCUUGGCGUCGGCAAAAGAAUGCUACCUGGUU